RNAcentral lists this ribosomal RNA (491 nucleotides) under uncultured bacterium. Its description in RNAcentral is "partial 16S ribosomal RNA". It matches the Rfam family "Bacterial small subunit ribosomal RNA", at positions 29 to 507 of the family's 1533-position model. The record is from RNAcentral.
UUGAACGCUGGCAGCAUGCUUUACACAUGCAAGUCGAACGGUAACAGGCCUUCGGGUGCUGACGAGUGGCGAACGGGUGAGUAAUGCAUCGGAACGUACCCAGAGGUGGGGGAUAACGCAGCGAAAGCUGUGCUAAUACCGCAUGUGAUCUGAGGAUGAAAGCGGGGGACCGAGCAGCAAUGUUUGGCCUCGCGCCUUUGGAGCGGCCGAUGUCGGAUUAGCUAGUUGGUGGGGUAAAGGCCUACCAAGGCGACGAUCCGUAGCUGGUCUGAGAGGACGACCAGCCACACUGGGACUGAGACACGGCCCAGACUCCUACGGGAGGCAGCAGUGGGGAAUUUUGGACAAUGGGCGCAAGCCUGAUCCAGCAAUGCCGCGUGCGGGAAGAAGGCCUUCGGGUUGUAAACCGCUUUUGGCAGGAACGAAACGGUGUCCGCUAAUACCGGGCGCUAAUGACGGUACCUGCAGAAUAAGCACCGGCUAACUACGUG